This 253-nucleotide ribosomal RNA is filed under the name uncultured bacterium. RNAcentral's name for it is "partial 16S ribosomal RNA". It matches the Rfam family "Bacterial small subunit ribosomal RNA", at positions 524 to 776 of the family's 1533-position model. The record is from RNAcentral.
UACGGGGGGAGCAAGCGUUGUUCGGAAUGACUGGGCGUAAAGGGCGCGUAGGCGGUUUGUACAGUCAGAUGUGAAAUUCCUGGGCUCAACCUGGGGGCUGCAUUUGAUACGUGCGGACUUGAGUGAGGAAGAGGGUCGUGGAAUUCCCAGUGUAGAGGUGAAAUUCGUAGAUAUUGGGAAGAACACCGGUGGCGAAGGCGGCGACAUGGUCCGUGACUGACGCUGAGGCGCGAAAGCGUGGGGAGCAAACAGG